GCUAAUACCGGAUAGUUCCUUGAACCGCAUGGUUCAAGGAUGAAAGACGGUUUCGGCUGUCACUUACAGAUGGACCCGCGGCGCAUUAGCUAGUUGGUGAGGUAACGGCUCACCAAGGCGACGAUGCGUAGCCGACCUGAGAGGGUGAUCGGCCACACUGGGACUGAGACACGGCCCAGACUCCUACGGGAGGCAGCAGUAGGGAAUCUUCCGCAAUGGACGAAAGUCUGACGGAGCAACGCCGCGUGAGUGAUGAAGGUUUUCGGAUCGUAAAGCUCUGUUGUUAG
Molecule: ribosomal RNA, 287 nt
Filed under: Bacillus sp. LM4505
Lineage: Bacteria; Bacillati; Bacillota; Bacilli; Caryophanales; Bacillaceae
Also listed under: 1 other name
Description: partial 16S ribosomal RNA
Rfam family: Bacterial small subunit ribosomal RNA
Source: RNAcentral